UGGCGAACGGGUGAGUAAUGCAUCGGAACGUGCCCAGUCGUGGGGGAUAACGCAGCGAAAGCUGUGCUAAUACCGCAUACGACCUACGGGUGAAAGCGGGGGACCGAAAGGCCUCGCGCUAUUGGAGCGGCCGAUGGCUGAUUAGCUAGUUGGUGGGGUAAAGGCCUACCAAGGCUACGAUCUAUAGCUGGUCUGAGAGGACGACCAGCCACACUGGAACUGAGACACGGUCCAGACUCC
Molecule: ribosomal RNA, 240 nt
Filed under: uncultured bacterium
Lineage: Bacteria
Description: partial 16S ribosomal RNA
Rfam family: Bacterial small subunit ribosomal RNA
Source: RNAcentral